This 2731-nucleotide ribosomal RNA is filed under the name Escherichia coli. Its description in RNAcentral is "partial 23S ribosomal RNA". It matches the Rfam family "Bacterial large subunit ribosomal RNA". The record is from RNAcentral. Lineage: Bacteria; Pseudomonadati; Pseudomonadota; Gammaproteobacteria; Enterobacterales; Enterobacteriaceae.
GGGGAACUGAAACAUCUAAGUACCCCGAGGAAAAGAAAUCAACCGAGAUUCCCCCAGUAGCGGCGAGCGAACGGGGAGGAGCCCAGAGCCUGAAUCAGUGUGUGUGUUAGUGGAAGCGUCUGGAAAGGCGCGCGAUACAGGGUGACAGCCCCGUACACAAAAAUGCACAUACUGUGAGCUCGAUGAGUAGGGCGGGACACGUGGUAUCCUGUCUGAAUAUGGGGGGACCAUCCUCCAAGGCUAAAUACUCCUGACUGACCGAUAGUGAACCAGUACCGUGAGGGAAAGGCGAAAAGAACCCCGGCGAGGGGAGUGAAAAAGAACCUGAAACCGUGUACGUACAAGCAGUGGGAGCCUCUUAAUGGGGUGACUGCGUACCUUUUGUAUAAUGGGUCAGCGACUUAUAUUCUGUAGCAAGGUUAACCGAAUAGGGGAGCCGAAGGGAAACCGAGUCUUAACUGGGCGUUAAGUUGCAGGGUAUAGACCCGAAACCCGGUGAUCUAGCCAUGGGCAGGUUGAAGGUUGGGUAACACUAACUGGAGGACCGAACCGACUAAUGUUGAAAAAUUAGCGGAUGACUUGUGGCUGGGGGUGAAAGGCCAAUCAAACCGGGAGAUAGCUGGUUCUCCCCGAAAGCUAUUUAGGUAGCGCCUCGUGAAUUCAUCUCCGGGGGUAGAGCACUGUUUCGGCAAGGGGGUCAUCCCGACUUACCAACCCGAUGCAAACUGCGAAUACCGGAGAAUGUUAUCACGGGAGACACACGGCGGGUGCUAACGUCCGUCGUGAAGAGGGAAACAACCCAGACCGCCAGCUAAGGUCCCAAAGUCAUGGUUAAGUGGGAAACGAUGUGGGAAGGCCCAGACAGCCAGGAUGUUGGCUUAGAAGCAGCCAUCAUUUAAAGAAAGCGUAAUAGCUCACUGGUCGAGUCGGCCUGCGCGGAAGAUGUAACGGGGCUAAACCAUGCACCGAAGCUGCGGCAGCGACACUAUGUGUUGUUGGGUAGGGGAGCGUUCUGUAAGCCUGUGAAGGUGUACUGUGAGGUAUGCUGGAGGUAUCAGAAGUGCGAAUGCUGACAUAAGUAACGAUAAAGCGGGUGAAAAGCCCGCUCGCCGGAAGACCAAGGGUUCCUGUCCAACGUUAAUCGGGGCAGGGUGAGUCGACCCCUAAGGCGAGGCCGAAAGGCGUAGUCGAUGGGAAACAGGUUAAUAUUCCUGUACUUGGUGUUACUGCGAAGGGGGGACGGAGAAGGCUAUGUUGGCCGGGCGACGGUUGUCCCGGUUUAAGCGUGUAGGCUGGUUUUCCAGGCAAAUCCGGAAAAUCAAGGCUGAGGCGUGAUGACGAGGCACUACGGUGCUGAAGCGACAAAUGCCCUGCUUCCAGGAAAAGCCUCUAAGCAUCAGGUAACAUCAAAUCGUACCCCAAACCGACACAGGUGGUCAGGUAGAGAAUACCAAGGCGCUUGAGAGAACUCGGGUGAAGGAACUAGGCAAAAUGGUGCCGUAACUUCGGGAGAAGGCACGCUGAUAUGUAGGUGAAGCGACUUGCUCGUGGAGCUGAAAUCAGUCGAAGAUACCAGCUGGCUGCAACUGUUUAUUAAAAACACAGCACUGUGCAAACACGAAAGUGGACGUAUACGGUGUGACGCCUGCCCGGUGCCGGAAGGUUAAUUGAUGGGGUUAGCGGUAACGCGAAGCUCUUGAUCGAAGCCCCGGUAAACGGCGGCCGUAACUAUAACGGUCCUAAGGUAGCGAAAUUCCUUGUCGGGUAAGUUCCGACCUGCACGAAUGGCGUAAUGAUGGCCAGGCUGUCUCCACCCGAGACUCAGUGAAAUUGAACUCGCUGUGAAGAUGCAGUGUACCCGCGGCAAGACGGAAAGACCCCGUGAACCUUUACUAUAGCUUGACACUGAACAUUGAGCCUUGAUGUGUAGGAUAGGUGGGAGGCUUUGAAGUGUGGACGCCAGUCUGCAUGGAGCCGACCUUGAAAUACCACCCUUUAAUGUUUGAUGUUCUAACGUGGGCCCCUUACCGGGGUUGCGGACAGUGUCUGGUGGGUAGUUUGACUGGGGCGGUCUCCUCCUAAAGAGUAACGGAGGAGCACGAAGGUUGGCUAAUCCUGGUCGGACAUCAGGAGGUUAGUGCAAUGGCAUAAGCCAGCUUGACUGCGAGCGUGACGGCGCGAGCAGGUGCGAAAGCAGGUCAUAGUGAUCCGGUGGUUCUGAAUGGAAGGGCCAUCGCUCAACGGAUAAAAGGUACUCCGGGGAUAACAGGCUGAUACCGCCCAAGAGUUCAUAUCGACGGCGGUGUUUGGCACCUCGAUGUCGGCUCAUCACAUCCUGGGGCUGAAGUAGGUCCCAAGGGUAUGGCUGUUCGCCAUUUAAAGUGGUACGCGAGCUGGGUUUAGAACGUCGUGAGACAGUUCGGUCCCUAUCUGCCGUGGGCGCUGGAGAACUGAGGGGGGCUGCUCCUAGUACGAGAGGACCGGAGUGGACGCAUCACUGGUGUUCGGGUUGUCAUGCCAAUGGCACUGCCCGGUAGCUAAAUGCGGAAGAGAUAAGUGCUGAAAGCAUCUAAGCACGAAACUUGCCCCGAGAUGAGUUCUCCCUGACUCCUUGAGAGUCCUGAAGGAACGUUGAAGACGACGACGUUGAUAGGCCGGGUGUGUAAGCGCAGCGAUGCGUUGAGCUAACCGGUACUAAUGAACCGUGAGGCUUAACCUUACAACGCCGAAG